RNAcentral lists this ribosomal RNA (734 nucleotides) under uncultured Bacteroidota bacterium. Its description in RNAcentral is "bacterial SSU rRNA". It matches the Rfam family "Bacterial small subunit ribosomal RNA", at positions 60 to 793 of the family's 1533-position model. Lineage: Bacteria; Pseudomonadati; Bacteroidota. The record is from RNAcentral.
AGUCGAGGGGUAUAAGGAGCUUGCUCCUUAGAGACCGGCGCACGGGUGCGUAACGCGUAUGCAAUCUACCUUUCACAGAGGGAUAGCCCAGAGAAAUUUGGAUUAAUACCUCAUAGUAUAUAUGGAUGGCAUCAUUUGUAUAUUAAAGUCACAACGGUGAAAGAUGAGCAUGCGUCCCAUUAGCUAGUUGGUAAGGUAACGGCUUACCAAGGCGACGAUAGGUAGGGGUCCUGAGAGGGAGAUCCCCCACACUGGUACUGAGACACGGACCAGACUCCUACGGGAGGCAGCAGUGAGGAAUAUUGGUCAAUGGGCGCAAGCCUGAACCAGCCAUGCCGCGUGCAGGAUGAAGCAUCUAUGGUGUGUAAACUGCUUUUGUACGGGAAGAAACAGAGGUUCGUGAACCUCCUUGACGGUACCGUAAGAAUAAGGAUCGGCUAACUCCGUGCCAGCAGCCGCGGUAAUACGGAGGAUCCAAGCGUUAUCCGGAAUCAUUGGGUUUAAAGGGUCCGUAGGCGGUUUGGUAAGUCAGUGGUGAAAGCCCAUCGCUCAACGGUGGAACGGCCAUUGAUACUGCCAGACUUGAAUUACUAGGAAGUAACUAGAAUAUGUAGUGUAGCGGUGAAAUGCUUAGAUAUUACAUGGAAUACCAAUUGCGAAGGCAGGUUACUACUAGUGGAUUGACGCUGAUGGACGAAAGCGUGGGUAGCGAACAGGAUUAGAUACCCCGGUAG